UUCAGUCUUUCCUGUGAGGAGGUUUCUUCUGGUUUAGAAUAAAUGAGGGACAUGGGAUUAACCUUAUCCCUUGGUUAUGGCUAUGUCUGGUUCAGUGUGUAGUGUCUGGUUGAUGACAUGUAUUCAAAUUUGUCUGCAUAUUAUGUUUUUCUAUGUCAUUUUUAGAAGGACAGAGAAGGUGUGGUCUGUGUUUCUGCUAUAAAAACUUGUUUUUCCUGCUUUGGAGGCAAAGUUAAACGAGUAGGAAUCCUGUAGAGCUUUUUUUCAUGGUGAGGUUCUGAAAGACUACAGAGUAUUAUUUCUCCCACACACACAUGAAAAGCCCCCAAAAUCUGUCCUAUGAGUAAAGGAGAGAUGAGUUUUCUUCAGCCUCUCUUGUUCCAGGAGGUCUUAGCCAUUCAGAUUCCAGAAGUGAAACAACCUUGUUUGAUAUGUGUUGCCAUCAGAAAAACCUGCCAAGAGUACCCAGCUGACCACGCUGAUCCUGCUUUAUGGAGCAAAACUUCAUAGUCAAGAAGUCCUUGAGCAGUGAUGGCACAGUGUCCUGUCUGCACCUGCUCUUUCUGAGGUUGCACUGGCAUCCACAUGCCAGGGGAGGAUGAGAUUUUCCUGGACUUCCUUAGGAAUGGAGAAAAGGAGAAGGAAAACCUGGAGUAGACGUCGGGAAUACCCGAGGGAGGCAAUCGUUC
Molecule: non-coding RNA, 689 nt
Organism: Cyanistes caeruleus (blue tit)
Lineage: Eukaryota; Metazoa; Chordata; Aves; Passeriformes; Paridae
Source: RefSeq, a predicted model, not a curated record